UAAUACGUAGGGGGCAAGCGUUGUCCGGAUUUAUUGGGCGUAAAGAGCGUGUAGGCGGCCAGAUAGGUCAGCUGUGAAAACUCGAGGCUCAACCUCGAGAUGUCGGCUGAAACCAUCUGGCUAGAGUCCGGAAGAGGAGAAUGGAAUUCCCGGUGUAGCGGUGAAAUGCGCAGAUAUCGGGAAGAACACCCGUGGCGAAGGCGGUUCUCUGGGACGGUACUGACGCUGAGACGCGAAAGCGUGGGGAGCGAACAGGAUUAGAUACCCUGGUAGUCCACGCCGUAAACGAUGGGAACUAGGUGUGGGCGGUGUCGACUCCGUCCGUGCCGAAGCUAACGCAUUAAGUUCCCCGCCUGGGGAGUACGGCCGCAAGGCUA
RNAcentral lists this ribosomal RNA (377 nucleotides) under uncultured bacterium. RNAcentral describes it as "bacterial SSU rRNA". It matches the Rfam family "Bacterial small subunit ribosomal RNA", at positions 521 to 896 of the family's 1533-position model. The record is from RNAcentral.